GACGAACGCUGGCGGCGUGCUUAACACAUGCAAGUCGAACGGUAAGGCCCUUCGGGGUACCCGAGUGGCGAACGGGGGGGUAACACGUGGGUGAUCUGCCCUGAACUUCGGGAUAAGCCUGGGAAACUGGGUCUAAUACGGGAUAGGCCAACUGCCGGCAUGGGUGGGGGUGGAAAGCUUUUGCGGUGUGGGAUGGGCCCGCGGCCUAUCAGCUUGUUGGUGGGGUGAUGGCCUACCAAGGCGACGACGGGUAGCCGGCCUGAGAGGGUGACCGGCCACACUGGGACUGAGAUACGGCCCAGACUCCUACGGGAGGCAGCAGUGGGGAAUAUUGCACAAUGGGCGCAAGCCUGAUGCAGCGACGCCGCGUGAGGGAUGACGGCCUUCGGGUUGUAAACCUCUUUCAGCACCGACGAAGCGCAAGUGACGGUAGGUGCAGAAGAAGGACCGGCCAACUACGUGCCAGCCGCCGCGGUAA
This 478-nucleotide ribosomal RNA is filed under the name uncultured bacterium. RNAcentral describes it as "partial 16S ribosomal RNA". It matches the Rfam family "Bacterial small subunit ribosomal RNA", at positions 28 to 523 of the family's 1533-position model. The record is from RNAcentral.